UAUCGUUUUCCCUGUCUCGCUUUUGUAGCCGCUCAUCCUCUUCUUUCUCCGUUCCACCAAUCUUCCCAGUUUUCCUUAGAUCUCUCCGCUAUGGCGUCGAUCUGCGAAUUUUUGGCAGCCGAGCCUUGUAGAUCGGGUCAUGAUCUACGUAUCGGUGCUCAUAACUUGAGAGAUCGGACUUGUUUCGGUGUCGGGACCCCUGCUUGAAGGUGGAUCGUGUUCAUCACGCUGUCCAGUUGCGAGAUCCGGUUCAGAUCUGAUGCCUCCAAUUGAUGAUCUUACUCUAUUUAGGCUUGUGAGGUCUUUCAACCUUGUGCGUUGAUUCGGCGGAGAUUUUGAGGUUGGUAGCUACAGUCGUAUCGGAAGCGGGAGAUUCGGCAGCUGGAGAACAUGGUGAAUAUAUGCUUGUUUUUAAAUAUAAAAGGAUGUAUAAGAUGUUGGGACGACAUAGCCCUGGCUUUGGCUUUUUGCGGGGCUUGAGUCCUAGUUACAUCUUUGUCAUCCGACCUUUGCCAUGACAGGUGCGCUUGCAUGGCAGGUCACCCAUUCGUCAAUAAAAGUUCCGUUGUUGUUUUAGAGGGGAGAUCGCACGGGGGUUUGCCCGGGUUCUCCCCUCUCGUGUGUGUGCGCGCGCCUCGCUCCAUAUUUGUCCCUCUCUCUCUCUCCCACCACUUUAUACUCUUUACCCGCCUAACAUCUGGCAUGGUUCGUCUGCUCCGCAUACACACCUUCAUUUCACUGAUUUUCUAUGAAUCAUGGGCAUUCUGGAGUUUUCCAUCUUACAGAACAAAUUACAUGAUCAGCAGAUCCGGAGUCCAAUCAUACUAAUCUUUCCCAACUGCAUUCGCGGAGACAGGUAUCAUAUUGUUAUGUGGCAUAGGAUUAAUUUACUACUCUUAUUACAUCCAGUUAGAGCGUUAUUGGCAAAUUGCUUAAGGUUCCUUUUAUUUAGAUUCCAAUACCCAUAGAAUGCAUAUUGUAAUGUUGGAGGAAAGAAUAUGCAUUAGAUACUAUCUCAAAUCGACGCAUCAGCAUUCUGCGACGUACUAUCCAUCAUGUACUGAGAAUUGUCGAGUGGUCAAGAUAAUCUUGAGCGUUACAGCUUAUAUAAUUCACCAUGGAUUUUAUUACAAUAAUGCUGCAUUAUGAUCGUAGUUCUCAAUUAUGAUCCCUUCGUUUUAAUGAUUUGUUAUUUACAGCUUCUCUUUUUGUCAAAUAUAUGAUAGUUUCUGCAUUUUGCCGAUGUCAUAAUGAUGUAUCGUUUUGAUGUAUCGAACCCUGAAUACGUCCGAGGUGGGUUUUAUAGUUCGAUGUACAUUGUUUGGAAUUGUGUUUCAGUUGAGGUUAUUCUAAAAAUAUUAUUGUAGUACUUUGGGAAUUCUUGUCAGAAUGUCUAGAUAUCUGGCAUAUAAACCAUUGUGGAGCCCAGAAUUUGGGUACAUCAAAUGAAGGUUUUUUCGAGCUUGGGGGCCAAGGGGAACAAUGGUGCAGGGGAAGAAAUUUUGAAGAGGGGAGCAAUCAACUGCCAGAACUUAAAAGAGAGGCGCUGUUAUGUUUUGAAUGGUGACACCCUGAUUCGAAGUGAUUUGGUAUCAUUGUGUGUAUUCCUGGGCAUGCAAUGGCUCCAUAAUGCUGUUGGAGUGUUCCCAUGGUUGAAUUUCACCCACUGAUGGCUGAGGGCUUUGAUCUGGUGGUGGCUUCAUAAUGUUGACAGAUUUGAGUUGGCUUUUGUGUGGAACGUCCGGUAUUGGACGUUUGGGUUCUCGAACGAUCUAAUGGAUGUUCUUUCUUCCGUUAUGCGCCAGAUCCAAGUCUUGACUUUGCUGUCCGUCGCAAUCGAGGGGUAGAGAUUGGGUUGGAAACGGAUUUCCCGAGGUCUAUAUCGUUGCCAUGAGGCCAACGAUGGGGAAAUCUAAACCUAUGGUUUCCCUGUGUCGUAUUGGCGGGUUCCAGUAUUCGUUGAAGUUGAUGCUUAGUUAUGUUUGGUGUCGGAAUAAGUUAAUGACAUCAAAUGCAUAGAUUAAUGUUUGGUUUAGUAAGGAGGGGUUUUGGGUCCAGGUCAUUUUGUGUUUCGGUUUUGGUUUAGUUUGGUUACUUCGGUUUUAGAAAAAAAAAUAGUGAUUAAUUGGAUUCUAUAUCGUUGAGUAGAAAAUUUUGGUUUGUUUAUAUGGUUGGUUCCGGUUGUAUAUGAUUUGGGUAAGUCGAGGAAGA
Molecule: long non-coding RNA, 2211 nt
Organism: Tarenaya hassleriana
Lineage: Eukaryota; Viridiplantae; Streptophyta; Magnoliopsida; Brassicales; Cleomaceae
Exons: 3
Source: RefSeq, a predicted model, not a curated record